Molecule: ribosomal RNA, 398 nt
Filed under: uncultured bacterium
Lineage: Bacteria
Description: bacterial SSU rRNA
Rfam family: Bacterial small subunit ribosomal RNA
Source: RNAcentral
GACGAACGCUGGCGGCGUGCUUAACACAUGCAAGUCGAGCGGUAAGGCCCUUUCGGGGGUACGACGAGCGGCGAACGGGUGAGUAACACGUGGGUGACCUGCCCUCAGUUCUGGGAUAAGCCUGGGAAACCGGGUCUAAUACUGGAUAUGACCUCAUGACGCAUGUUGGUGGGGUGGAAAGCCUUGUGCGACUGAGGAUGGGCCCGCGGCCUAUCAGCUUGUUGGUGGGGUGAGGCCUACCAAGGCGACGACGGGUAGCCGGCCUGAGAGGGCGACCGGCCACACUGGGACUGAGACACGGCCCAGACUCCUACGGGAGGCAGCAGUGGGGAAUCUUGCGCAAUGGGCGAAAGCCUGACGCAGCGACGCCGCGUGAGGGAUGACGGCCUCGGUGUAAC